RNAcentral lists this ribosomal RNA (432 nucleotides) under uncultured Alphaproteobacteria bacterium. Its description in RNAcentral is "bacterial SSU rRNA". It matches the Rfam family "Bacterial small subunit ribosomal RNA", at positions 9 to 488 of the family's 1533-position model. Lineage: Bacteria; Pseudomonadati; Pseudomonadota; Alphaproteobacteria. The record is from RNAcentral.
GAGUUUGAUCCUGGCUCAGAACGAACGCUGGCGGCAUGCCUAACACAUGCAAGUCGAACGAGACCUUCGGGUCUAGUGGCGCACGGGUGCGUAACGCGUGGGAAUCUGCCCUUCGGUUCGGAAUAACUCAGGGAAACUUGAGCUAAUACCGGAUGAUGACUUCGGUCCAAAGAUUUAUCGCCGAGGGAUGAGCCCGCGUCGGAUUAGCUAGUUGGUGAGGUAAAAGCUCACCAAGGCGAUGACCCGUAGCUGGUCUGAGAGGAUGAUCAGCCAUACUGGGACUGAGACACGGCCCAGACUCCUACGGGAGGCAGCAGUGGGGAAUAUUGGACAAUGGGCGAAAGCCUGAUCCAGCAAUGCCGCGUGAGUGAUGAAGGCCUUAGGGUUGUAAAGCUCUUUUACCCGGGAAGAUAAUGACUGACCGGAGAAUAA